GAAUUCGCCCUUAGAGUUUGAUCCUGGCUCAGGACGAACGCUGGCGGCGUGCCUAACACAUGCAAGUCGAGCGGGAAUCUAUCAAUUGAAGCUUCGGCAGAUUUUGAUAGAGGAUAGCGGCGGACGGGUGAGUAACGCGUGAGUAACCUGCCCUUAAGAGGGGGAUAACACACCGAAAGGUGUGCUAAUACCGCAUAAUAUAUGUUUACCGCAUGAUAGACAUAUCAAAGAUUUAUCGCUUAAGGAUGGACUCGCGUCUGAUUAGAUAGUUGGUGAGGUAACGGCUCACCAAGUCGACGAUCAGUAGCCGAACUGAGAGGUUGAUCGGCCACAUUGGGACUGAGACACGGCCCAGACUCCUACGGGAGGCAGCAGUGGGGAAUAUUGCGCAAUGGGGGAAACCCUGACGCAGCAACGCCGCGUGAAGGAUGAAGGCCUUCGGGUUGUAAACUUUUGUCUUAUGGGAAGAACAAGGACGGUACCAUAGGAGGAAGCCACGGCUAACUACGUGCCAGCAGCCGCGGUAAUACGUAGGUGGCAAGCGUUGUCCGGAUUUACCGGGUUUAAAGGGUGCGUAGGCGGGUUAUUAAGUCAGUGGUGAAAGCGUGUGGCUCAACCAUACCAAGCCAUUGAAACUGGUGAUCUUGAGUGUAAACGAGGUAGGCGGAAUGUGACGUGUAGCGGUGAAAUGCUUAGAUAUGUCACAGAACCCCGAUUGCGAAGGCAGCUUACCAGCAUACAACUGACGCUGAGGCACGAAAGCGUGGGUAUCAAACAGGAUUAGAUACCCUGGUAGUCCACGCAGUAAACGAUGAAUACUAGCUGUUGGCGAUAUAAUGUCAGCGGUACAGCGAAAGUGUUAAGUAUUCCACCUGGGGAGUACGCCGGCAACGGUGAAACUCAAAGGAAUUGACGGGGGCCCGCACAAGCGGAGGAACAUGUGGUUUAAUUCGAUGAUACGCGAGGAACCUUACCCGGGCUUGAAAGUUAGUGACUGACUUGGAAACAGGUCAUUCCUUCGGGACACGAAACUAGGUGCUGCAUGGUUGUCGUCAGCUCGUGCCGUGAGGUGUCGGCUUAAGUGCCAUAACGAGCGCAACCCUUGCUGUUAGUUGCCAUCAGGUUACGCUGGGAACUCUAACAGGACUGCUACUGUAAGGUAGAGGAAGGUGGGGAUGACGUCAAAUCAGCACGGCCCUUACGUCCGGGGCGACACACGUGUUACAAUGGUCGGUACAGAGGGUUGCUACCUGGCGACAGGAUGCUAAUCUCAUAAAACCGAUCUCAGUUCGGAUCGGAGUCUGCAACUCGACUCCGUGAAGCUGGAUUCGCUAGUAAUCGCGCAUCAGCCAUGGCGCGGUGAAUACGUUCCCGGGCCUUGUACACACCGCCCGUCA
Molecule: ribosomal RNA, 1397 nt
Filed under: uncultured bacterium
Lineage: Bacteria
Description: partial 16S ribosomal RNA
Rfam family: Bacterial small subunit ribosomal RNA
Source: RNAcentral